ACAUGCAGUCGAGGGGCAGCAUGAACUUAGCUUGCUAAGUUUGAUGGCGACCGGCGCACGGGUGAGUAACACGUAUCCAACCUUCCGUUUACUCAGGGAUAGCCUUUCGAAAGAAAGAUUAAUACCUGAUAGUAUGGUGAGAUUGCAUGAUAGCACCAUUAAAGAUUUAUUGGUAAACGAUGGGGAUGCGUUCCAUUAGGUAGUAGGCGGGGUAACGGCCCACCUAGCCGACGAUGGAUAGGGGUUCUGAGAGGAAGGUCCCCCACAUUGGAACUGAGACACGGUCCAAACUCCUACGGGAGGCAGCAGUGAGGAAUAUUGGUCAAUGGGCGAGAGCCUGAACCAGCCAAGUAGCGUGAAGGAUGAAGGUCCUACGGAUUGUAAACUUCUUUUAUACGGGAAUAAAGUAUCCUACGUGUAGGAUUUUGUAUGUACCGUAUGAAUAAGCAUCGGCUAACUCCGUGCCAGCAGCCGCGGUAAUACGGAGGAUGCGAGCGUUAUCCGGAUUUAUUGGGUUUAAAGGGAGCGUAGGCGGGUUGUUAAGUCAGUUGUGAAAGUUUGCGGCUCAACCGUAAAAUUGCAGUUGAUACUGGCGACCUUGAGUGCAACAGAGGUAGGCGGAAUUCGUGGUGUAGCGGUGAAAUGCUUAGAUAUCACGAAGAACUCCGAUUGCGAAGGCAGCUUACUGGAUUGUAACUGACGCUGAUGCUCGAAAGUGUGGGUAUCAAACAGGAUUAGAUACCCUGGUAGUCCACACAGUAAACGAUGAAUACUCGCUGUUGGCGAUAUACAGUCAGCGGCCAAGCGAAAGCAUUAAGUAUUCCACCUGGGGAGUACGCCGGCAACGGUGAAACUCAAAGGAAUUGACGGGGGCCCGCACAAGCGGAGGAACAUGUGGUUUAAUUCGAUGAUACGCGAGGAACCUUACCCGGGCUUAAAUUGCAACUGACGGAACC
This 956-nucleotide ribosomal RNA is filed under the name uncultured bacterium. RNAcentral describes it as "bacterial SSU rRNA". It matches the Rfam family "Bacterial small subunit ribosomal RNA", at positions 53 to 1002 of the family's 1533-position model. The record is from RNAcentral.